RNAcentral lists this ribosomal RNA (462 nucleotides) under uncultured bacterium. Its description in RNAcentral is "partial 16S ribosomal RNA". It matches the Rfam family "Bacterial small subunit ribosomal RNA", at positions 28 to 507 of the family's 1533-position model. The record is from RNAcentral.
GACGAACGCUGGCGGCGUGCUUAACACAUGCAAGUCGAACGGUGAAGCCCUUCGGGGUGGAUCAGUGGCGAACGGGUGAGUAACACGUGAGCAACCUGCCCCUGGCUCUGGGACAACCACUGGAAACGGUGGCUAAUACCGGAUACGACCCGCCUCGGCAUCGAGUGUGGGUGGAAAGUUUUUCGGCUGGGGAUGGGCUCGCGGCCUAUCAGCUUGUUGGUGAGGUGAAGGCUCACCAAGGCGACGACGGGUAGCCGGCCUGAGAGGGCGACCGGCCACACUGGGACUGAGACACGGCCCAGACUCCUACGGGAGGCAGCAGUGGGGAAUACUGCACAAUGGGCGAAAGCCUGAUGCAGCGACGCCGCGUGAGGGAUGACGGCCUUCGGGUUGUAAACCUCUUUCAGCUCCGAAGAAGCGAAAGUGACGGUAGGAGCAGAAGAAGCACCGGCUAACUACGUG